GAUGAACGCUGGCGGCGUGCCUAAUACAUGCAAGUCGAGCGAACAGACGAGGAGCUUGCUCCUCUUACGUUAGCGGCGGACGGGUGAGUAACACGUGGAUAACCUACCUAUAAGACUGGGAUAACUUCGGGAAACCGGAGCUAAUACCGGAUAAUAUAUUGAACCGCAUGGUUCAAUAGUGAAAGACGGUUUUGCUGUCACUUAUAGAUGGAUCCGCGCCGCAUUAGCUAGUUGGUAAGGUAACGGCUUACCAAGGCGACGAUGCGUAGCCGACCUGGGAGAGGGAUCGGCCACACUGGAACUGAGACACGGUCCAGACGCCUACGGGAGGCAGCAGUAGGGAAUCUUCCGCAAUGGGCGAGAGCCUGACGGAGCAACGCCGCGUGAGUGAUGAAGGUCUUCGGAUCGUAAAACUCUGUUAUUAGGGAAGAACAAAUGUGUAAGUAACUAUGCACGUCUUGACGGUACCUAAUCAGAAAGCCACGGCUAACUACGUG
RNAcentral lists this ribosomal RNA (497 nucleotides) under uncultured bacterium. Its description in RNAcentral is "partial 16S ribosomal RNA". It matches the Rfam family "Bacterial small subunit ribosomal RNA", at positions 28 to 507 of the family's 1533-position model. The record is from RNAcentral.